Molecule: transfer RNA, 77 nt
Filed under: Fusobacterium sp.
Lineage: Bacteria; Fusobacteriati; Fusobacteriota; Fusobacteriia; Fusobacteriales; Fusobacteriaceae
Description: tRNA-Arg
Rfam family: tRNA
About the family: Transfer RNA (tRNA) molecules are approximately 80 nucleotides in length. Their secondary structure includes four short double-helical elements and three loops (D, anti-codon, and T loops). Further hydrogen bonds mediate the characteristic L-shaped molecular structure. tRNAs have two regions of fundamental functional importance: the anti-codon, which is responsible for specific mRNA codon recognition, and the 3' end, to which the tRNAs corresponding amino acid is attached (by aminoacyl-tRNA synthetases). tRNAs cope with the degeneracy of the genetic code in two manners: having more than one tRNA (with a specific anti-codon) for a particular amino acid; and 'wobble' base-pairing, i.e. permitting non-standard base-pairing at the 3rd anti-codon position.
Source: RNAcentral
GCAUCCAUAGCUCAACUGGAUAGAGCGUCUGACUACGGAUCAGAAGGUUGUGGGUUCGACCCCUGCUGGGUGCGCCA